This 253-nucleotide ribosomal RNA is filed under the name uncultured bacterium. Its description in RNAcentral is "partial 16S ribosomal RNA". It matches the Rfam family "Bacterial small subunit ribosomal RNA", at positions 524 to 776 of the family's 1533-position model. The record is from RNAcentral.
UACGUAGGGACCGAGCGUUGUCCGGAAUCAUUGGGCGUAAAGAGCGUGUAGGCGGCCACUUAAGUCCUGCGUGAAAUCUUGCGGCUCAACCGCAAGCGGUCGUGGGAAACUGGGUGGCUAGAGUGCGGGAGAGGAGAGUGGAAUUCCUGGUGUAGCGGUGGAAUGCGCAGAUAUCAGGAAGAACACCCGUGGCGAAGGCGGCUCUCUGGACCGGUACUGACGCUGAGACACGAAAGCGUGGGUAGCAAACAGG